UUGGAGGGCAAGUCUGGUGCCAGCAGCCGCGGUAAUUCCAGCUCCAAUAGCGUAUAUUAAAGUUGUUGCAGUUAAAAAGCUCGUAGUUGAACCUUAGGCCCGUGCGGGCGGUCCGUCCUCUGGGCGAGCACUGCUCCGUCGCGGGUCUCACCUUCUGGCGAGCGUGGAUGCCAUUUAUUUGGUGUCCGCGGGAACCAGGACCUUUACCUUGAAAAAAUUAGAGUGCUCAAAGCGGGCUCCGACGCUUGAAUACAUUAGCAUGGAAUAAUGAAAUAGGACGAUGGUUCUAUUUUGUUGGUUUCCGGGACCGUCGUAAUGAUUAAUAGGGAUAGUUGGGGGCAUUCGUAUUCAAUUGUCAGAGGUGAAAUUCUUGGAUUUAUUGAAGACGAACUACUGCGAAAGCAUUUGCCAAGGAUGUUUUCAUUAAUCAAGAACGAAAGUUGGGGGAUCGAAGACGAUCAGAUACCGUCGUAGUCUCAACCAUAAACUAUGCCGACCGGGAAUCGGGCGAUGUUACUUUUCUGACUCGCUCGGCGCCCCGAGGGAAACCAAAGUGUUUGGGUUC
RNAcentral lists this ribosomal RNA (565 nucleotides) under uncultured Paraglomus. RNAcentral describes it as "SSU rRNA". It matches the Rfam family "Eukaryotic small subunit ribosomal RNA", at positions 548 to 1114 of the family's 1831-position model. Lineage: Eukaryota; Fungi; Glomeromycota; Glomeromycetes; Paraglomerales; Paraglomeraceae. The record is from RNAcentral.